RNAcentral lists this ribosomal RNA (334 nucleotides) under uncultured eukaryote. RNAcentral describes it as "partial 18S ribosomal RNA". It matches the Rfam family "Eukaryotic small subunit ribosomal RNA", at positions 1470 to 1796 of the family's 1831-position model. The record is from RNAcentral.
UCCUUAGAUGUUCUGGGCCGCACGCGCGCUACACUGAAGGAAUCAGCGUGGCUUUCUCCCUGACCCGAAAGGGUUGGGAAACCCGUUGAAUCUCCUUCGUGAUAGGGAUUGGGGCUUGAAAUUGUUCCCCAUGAACGAGGAAUUCCCAGUAAGCGCGAGUCAUAAGCUCGCGUUGAUUACGUCCCUGCCCUUUGUACACACCGCCCGUCGCUACUACCGAUUGAACGGUUUAGUGAGGGCCUCGGAUUGGUCUCGGCCCGCUCUUUACCGGGCGGCGCCGUUGGUCGAGAAGACGCUCGAACUUGAUCGUUUAGAGGAAGUAAAAGUCGUAACA